UACGGAGGGAGCUAGCGUUGUUCGGAAUUACUGGGCGUAAAGCGCACGUAGGCGGCUUUGUAAGUUAGGGGUGAAAGCCCGGAGCUCAACUCCGGAAUUGCCUUUAAGACUGCAUCGCUUGAAUCCGGGAGAGGUGAGUGGAAUUCCGAGUGUAGAGGUGAAAUUCGUAGAUAUUCGGAAGAACACCAGUGGCGAAGGCGGCUCACUGGACCGGUAUUGACGCUCAUGCACGAAAGCGUGGGGAGCAAACAGG
Molecule: ribosomal RNA, 253 nt
Filed under: uncultured bacterium
Lineage: Bacteria
Description: partial 16S ribosomal RNA
Rfam family: Bacterial small subunit ribosomal RNA
Source: RNAcentral